This 699-nucleotide ribosomal RNA is filed under the name uncultured bacterium. Its description in RNAcentral is "bacterial SSU rRNA". It matches the Rfam family "Bacterial small subunit ribosomal RNA", at positions 138 to 857 of the family's 1533-position model. The record is from RNAcentral.
CACGGAUAACAUACCGAAAGGUAUGCUAAUACGGGAUAAUAUAUUUGAGAGGCAUCUCUUAAAUAUCAAAGGUGAGCCAGUACAGGAUGGACCCGCGUCUGAUUAGCUAGUUGGUAAGGUAACGGCUUACCAAGGCAACGAUCAGUAGCCGACCUGAGAGGGUGAUCGGCCACAUUGGAACUGAGACGCGGUCCAAACUCCUACGGGAGGCAGCAGUGGGGAAUAUUGCACAAUGGGCGAAAGCCUGAUGCAGCAACGCCGCGUGAGUGAUGAAGGCCUUCGGGUCGUAAAACUCUGUCCUCAAGGAAGAUAAUGACGGUACUUGAGGAGGAAGCCCCGGCUAACUACGUGCCAGCAGCCGCGGUAAUACGUAGGGGGCUAGCGUUAUCCGGAUUUACUGGGCGUAAAGGGUGCGUAGGCGGUCUUUCAAGUCAGGAGUGAAAGGCUACGGCUCAACCGUAGUAAGCUCUUGAAACUGGGAGACUUGAGUGCAGGAGAGGAGAGUGGAAUUCCUAGUGUAGCGGUGAAAUGCGUAGAUAUUAGGAGGAACACCAGCUGCGAAGGCGGCUCUCUGGACUGUAACUGACGCUGAGGCACGAAAGCGUGGGGAGCAAACAGGAUUAGAUACCCUGGUAGUCCACGCUGUAAACGAUGAGUACUAGGUGUCGGGGGUUACCCCCUUCGGUGCCGCAGCUAACG